GUGCAUACAAAUCUUCCAACAGACUCAAAACAAGCUCCAAUAUAAAGGAAUGUGGGGCCCGUUUGCUGUACGAGAGAGAUUUCGAAGAAUUCUGCGGAAUACUGAAACUCCCCAAGCCCAAUUUGAAAUCAGCACUACAUGCAUACGGUCACCAGGCAAGCCAAAUUGGUAGCAGUGGACAUGGUAGCUCUGAUGGCGACGAUGAACCAGUCAGCAAAAGAUUCAAGAAAGUCUAAAUUAUUUUGGGCUUGGUUCAAUCAUUCAAUGAUGUCUCAAAAAGCUAAUGACGUUGGUCAAUUCUCAGAAUUCAACUCAGCCUCGAGUAAAAGAACAUUUUCAGAACCUUUCAAUGCUGUGCUAUCAAACUGUUGCAAUAGCCAAUUAUGUGUUCAAUCCAAUCUUGCUCAAAACACAAUCAAUUUUGAGAAGAUGGAGAAAAGGUAGACAACCUGACGAUUCGGAAUUCCUCUGGCUUUGCAAAGUGAAAUUGUUAUGUGAAUGCAAUCCUAUUAGAAAGGCGAGCUGAAUGUAAAGCAUCAUUCUUAAUUAGCAUUGAGUGACGAUUGGCUUUGUCUAGGGUUUGAUAUUGUGUUUAUGGUUUCUGAUUUUGGGGUUAUUUGUUAUUUUGGACCUUAGACUUUGGUCUUUUGAAUUGGGGUUUUAUUUUUGGGAAAUUGACCUACAUACUUCCCCAGAAUGCCCCUCCCUACUCGAGAUGAACCUUGGUUUGGUGAAUUGAAGUUGACCUUAGAUGUAAUCAAGAAUGCUAUAUUGAGGGCCUUAUAUAUGACCCUUAGGUGAGACCUUAUCUCUUAAUCGUUGGAUCAAAUUGAUUAGCUUGAUUCAACAGUUAAGAGAUGAAACCUCAUCUAAAGGUCAUAUAUAAAGCCUUCACUAUAAAAUGACUCAUAAUAUAAAACUUGUAACAUUAAAAUCGAGGCCCCGCUGAUUGUUGGAAUGACGAAAAGCCGGGCUGGGCCUCGGUUUUAAUAUGUUUGAGCCCAUGCUUCUGUUU
Prunus dulcis (almond) is the source of this 1015-nucleotide long non-coding RNA. RefSeq lists it as uncharacterized. The transcript is spliced from 2 exons. The record is from RefSeq and is a predicted model, not a curated record. Lineage: Eukaryota; Viridiplantae; Streptophyta; Magnoliopsida; Rosales; Rosaceae.